Molecule: long non-coding RNA, 377 nt
Organism: Oncorhynchus kisutch (coho salmon)
Lineage: Eukaryota; Metazoa; Chordata; Actinopteri; Salmoniformes; Salmonidae
Exons: 6
Source: RefSeq, a predicted model, not a curated record
GUUUGGAUUGAAAGCUCCACGUUUUAUCAUCCCCACUGCGGCCUCGUCACGUGACGUCACACGACUUCCUCACUACUCCACCCGCAGCAGCCAUGAUGCAAGAAGGGCUGGACGAUGGUCCCGAUUUCCUCUCGGAGGAGGACAGAGGACCUAGAGCAGUCAAUGUUGACCUCCAAACUGAUGCAACACUCCAAGUGGACAUUUCUGAUGCAUUAAGUGAGCGGGACAAGGUUAAGUUUACUGUCCAUACUAAGAGCACUCUUCCUAACUUCAAGCAGAAUGAGUUUUCAGUGGUGCGGCAGCAUGAGGAGUUCAUCUGGCUUCAUGACUCCUUUGUGGAGAAUGAGGAGUAUGCAGGCUACAUUAUUCCCCCAGCA